RNAcentral lists this ribosomal RNA (175 nucleotides) under uncultured bacterium. RNAcentral's name for it is "partial 16S ribosomal RNA". It matches the Rfam family "Bacterial small subunit ribosomal RNA", at positions 1318 to 1500 of the family's 1533-position model. The record is from RNAcentral.
CCAUGAAGCUGGAUUCGCUAGUAAUCGCGCAUCAGCCGCGGCGCGGUGAAUACGUUCCCGGGCCUUGUACACACCGCCCGUCAAGCCAUGGAAGCCGGGGGGUGCCUGAAGUGCGCUGCCGCAAGGAGCGCCCUAGGGUAAAACCGGUGACUGGGCUAAGUCGUAACAAGGUACC